RNAcentral lists this ribosomal RNA (2479 nucleotides) under Streptomyces fradiae. Its description in RNAcentral is "bacterial LSU rRNA". It matches the Rfam family "Bacterial large subunit ribosomal RNA", at positions 590 to 2925 of the family's 2925-position model. The record is from RNAcentral. Lineage: Bacteria; Bacillati; Actinomycetota; Actinomycetes; Kitasatosporales; Streptomycetaceae.
GUCGUGACUGCGUGCCUUUUGAAGAAUGAGCCUGCGAGUUUGCGGUGUGUUGCGAGGUUAACCCGUGUGGGGAAGCCGUAGCGAAAGCGAGUCCGAACAGGGCGAUGUAGUAGCGCGCUCAAGACCCGAAGCGGAGUGAUCUAGCCAUGGGCAGGUUGAAGCGCGGGUAAGACCGUGUGGAGGACCGAACCCACCAGGGUUGAAAACCUGGGGGAUGACCUGUGGUUAGGGGUGAAAGGCCAAUCAAACUCCGUGAUAGCUGGUUCUCCCCGAAAUGCAUUUAGGUGCAGCGUCGUGUGUUUCUUGCCGGAGGUAGAGCACUGGAUAGGCGAUGGGCCCUACCGGGUUACUGACCUUAGCCAAACUCCGAAUGCCGGUAAGUGAGAGCGCGGCAGUGAGACUGUGGGGGAUAAGCUCCAUGGUCGAGAGGGAAACAGCCCAGAGCAUCGACUAAGGCCCCUAAGCGUACGCUAAGUGGGAAAGGAUGUGGAGUCGCAGAGACAACCAGGAGGUUGGCUUAGAAGCAGCCAUCCUUGAAAGAGUGCGUAAUAGCUCACUGGUCAAGUGAUUCCGCGCCGACAAUGUAGCGGGGCUCAAGCGUACCGCCGAAGUCGUGUCAUUCCAGCAUGAGGUCCAACGACCGUUGGGAUGGGUAGGGGAGCGUCGUGUGCCGGGUGAAGCCGCGCCGGAAGGCAGUGGUGGACGGUUCACGAGUGAGAAUGCAGGCAUGAGUAGCGAUACACACGUGGGAAACGUGUGCGCCGAUUGACUAAGGGUUCCUGGGUCAAGCUGAUCUGCCCAGGGUAAGUCGGGACCUAAGGCGAGGCCGACAGGCGUAGUCGAUGGACAACCGGUUGAUAUUCCGGUACCCGCUUUGAAGCGCCAGCGCUGAACCUUCUGAUGCUAAGUCCGUGAAGCCGCCGGCUGAGUCUUCGGACGAGGUCGGAGUGGUGGAGCCGACGACCCGAGGGGGUAGUAGGUGAGUGAUGGGGUGACGCAGGAAGGUAGUCCAGCCCGGGCGGUGGUUGUCCCGGGGUAAGGGUGUAGGACGCCAGGUAGGUAAAUCCGUCUGGCACAUAAGUCUGAGACCUGAUGCCGAGCCGAUUGUGGUGAAGUGGAUGAUCCUAUGCUGUCGAGAAAAGCCUCUAGCGAGUUUCAUGGCGGCCCGUACCCUAAACCGACUCAGGUGGUCAGGUAGAGAAUACCGAGGCGUUCGGGUGAACUAUGGUUAAGGAACUCGGCAAAAUGCCCCCGUAACUUCGGGAGAAGGGGGGCCAUUGCUGGUGAUCACCCUUGCGGUGUGAGCUGGUGGUGGCCGCAGAGACCAGCGAGAAGCGACUGUUUACUAAAAACACAGGUCCGUGCGAAGCCGUAAGGCGAUGUAUACGGACUGACGCCUGCCCGGUGCUGGAACGUUAAGGGGACCGGUUAGUCAUGAUGCGUCAUGGCGAAGCUGAGAACUUAAGCGCCAGUAAACGGCGGUGGUAACUAUAACCAUCCUAAGGUAGCGAAAUUCCUUGUCGGGUAAGUUCCGACCUGCACGAAUGGCGUAACGACUUCUCGACUGUCUCAACCAUAGGCCCGGUGAAAUUGCACUACGAGUAAAGAUGCUCGUUUCGCGCAGCAGGACGGAAAGACCCCGGGACCUUUACUACAGCUUGAUAUUGGUGUUCGGUUCGGCUUGUGUAGGAUAGGUGGGAGACUGUGAAGCCCGGACGCUAGUUCGGGUGGAGUCGUCGUUGAAAUACCACUCUGGUCGUGCUGGAUGUCUAACCUGGGUCCGUGAUCCGGAUCAGGGACAGUGUCUGGUGGGUAGUUUAACUGGGGCGGUUGCCUCCUAAAGGGUAACGGAGGCGCCCAAAGGUUCCCUCAGCCUGGUUGGUAAUCAGGUGUUGAGUGUAAGUGCACAAGGGAGCUUGACUGUGAGACCGACGGGUCGAGCAGGGACGAAAGUCGGGACUAGUGAUCCGGCGGUGGCUUGUGGAAGCGCCGUCGCUCAACGGAUAAAAGGUACCCCGGGGAUAACAGGCUGAUCUUCCCCAAGAGUCCAUAUCGACGGGAUGGUUUGGCACCUCGAUGUCGGCUCGUCGCAUCCUGGGGCUGGAGUCGGUCCCAAGGGUUGGGCUGUUCGCCCAUUAAAGCGGUACGCGAGCUGGGUUUAGAACGUCGUGAGACAGUUCGGUCCCUAUCCGCUGUGCGCGUAGGAGUCUUGAGAAGGGCUGUCCCUAGUACGAGAGGACCGGGACGGACGAACCUCUGGUGUGCCAGUUGUCCUGCCAAGGGCAUGGCUGGUUGGCUACGUUCGGGAGGGAUAACCGCUGAAAGCAUCUAAGCGGGAAGCCUGCUUCGAGAUGAGGACUCCCACCCCCAUGAGGGGUUAAGGCUCCCAGUAGACGACUGGGUUGAUAGGCCAGAUAUGGAAGCACCGCAAGGUGUGGAGUUGACUGGUACUAAUAGGCCGAGGGCUUGUCCUCAGAUG